Molecule: ribosomal RNA, 470 nt
Filed under: uncultured bacterium
Lineage: Bacteria
Description: partial 16S ribosomal RNA
Rfam family: Bacterial small subunit ribosomal RNA
Source: RNAcentral
GACGAACGCUGGCGGCGUGCUUAACACAUGCAAGUCGAACGGUGAACGAGGGAGCUUGCUCCCUCCGGAUCAGUGGCGAACGGGUGAGUAACACGUGAGCAAUCUGCCCCGAACUCUGGGAUAAGCGUUGGAAACGACGUCUAAUACCGGAUACGACGCGGGAGGGCAUCCUCUCCGCGUGGAAAGAACUUCGGUUUGGGAUGAGCUCGCGGCCUAUCAGCUUGUUGGUGAGGUAACGGCUCACCAAGGCGACGACGGGUAGCCGGCCUGAGAGGGUGACCGGCCACACUGGGACUGAGACACGGCCCAGACUCCUACGGGAGGCAGCAGUGGGGAAUAUUGCACAAUGGGCGCAAGCCUGAUGCAGCAACGCCGCGUGAGGGACGACGGCCUUCGGGUUGUAAACCUCUUUUAGCAGGGAAGAAGCGAAAGUGACGGUACCUGCAGAAAAAGCACCGGCUAACUACGUG